Molecule: ribosomal RNA, 492 nt
Filed under: uncultured bacterium
Lineage: Bacteria
Description: partial 16S ribosomal RNA
Rfam family: Bacterial small subunit ribosomal RNA
Source: RNAcentral
AGCGAACGCUGGCGGUAGGCCUAACACAUGCAAGUCGAACGGCAGCACAGUAAGAGCUUGCUCUUACGGGUGGCGAGUGGCGGACGGGAGAGGAAAAUAACGGACUCUACUUUUUCGUGGGGGAUAACGUAGGGAAAGUUACGCUAAUACCGCAUACGACCUACGGGGGAAAGCAGGGGAUCUUCGGACCUUGCGCGAAUGAAUGAGCCGAUGUCGGAUUAGAUAGUUGGCGGGUUAAAGGCCUACGAAGGCGACGAUCGGCAGCUGGUCGGAGAGGAUGAUCAGCGGCACUAGAGCGGAGACACGGUCCUGACUCCUGAGAGACGGAGCAGUGGGGAAUAGUGGACAGUAGGCGGAAACCUGGUCCAGCCAGCCCGCGUGGGUGGAGGAGGCCUUCGGGUUGUGAAGCCCUUUUGUGGGGAGAGAAACGCAGCCGCCUAAUACCCCGCUGUUCUGACGGUACCCAGUGAAUAAGCACCGGCUAACUUCGUG